GGGGAUUUAGCUCAGUGGCAUAAGCACCUGCCUUACAAGCAGGCGGUCAUGAGUUUGAUCCCUG
RNAcentral lists this transfer RNA (64 nucleotides) under Cavia porcellus (domestic guinea pig). It matches the Rfam family "tRNA", at positions 1 to 62 of the family's 71-position model. From Rfam's summary of the family: Transfer RNA (tRNA) molecules are approximately 80 nucleotides in length. Their secondary structure includes four short double-helical elements and three loops (D, anti-codon, and T loops). The record is from Rfam by way of RNAcentral. Lineage: Eukaryota; Metazoa; Chordata; Mammalia; Rodentia; Caviidae.